GUUUCAAAUGAAUGAGAGUUUAUUUUCAUAUGUAUAGAAUAGAAUUAAAACAUUUCUGAGUAAUACAAGAGAAGUCUUUUAUAUCUAGCAUUAUGUGCAUUGAAUUAAAUGAAGUAUUUAAUACAAAACUAUUUUGUAGGGUCUGUGCAAUAAAUACGUUCUUCUUUUCAAACCUUGAAAUCAAUAGGGCAAAUGAUGUUAAGGUCAUCUGAUUUUUAGGAGUGUGGUGGCCGAGAGGUUAAGUAAUUGGCUUCUGAACCUGGGGUCUUGGGUUCAAAUCUUGAUGAAAACUGGGAAUUUGAAUUUCAAAAUGUUAAGGACAACCGUGAGUCAAUCCAACUUUAAUGGGUGCUUGACUUAAGUUGGGGGGGGGGGGGGGGGG
Biomphalaria pfeifferi is the source of this 382-nucleotide non-coding RNA. NCBI's taxonomy places the organism in Eukaryota, Metazoa, Mollusca, Gastropoda, Planorbidae. The record is from the annotation of a GenBank genome assembly.